Long non-coding RNA from Humulus lupulus (European hop), 3444 nucleotides. RefSeq lists it as uncharacterized. The transcript is spliced from 3 exons. The record is from RefSeq and is a predicted model, not a curated record. Lineage: Eukaryota; Viridiplantae; Streptophyta; Magnoliopsida; Rosales; Cannabaceae.
UCUUCAACCUAGAGAAAUAAUCAUCUAAGCCAAGUAUUUGGAGCUACUCCGAUUUCCCAUUCCACCUAUGGUUAUUCACUUUCUCCAUGUUACUAAUUUUUAUCUAAUGCAAUUAGUUCCAAAUGUCAUACAGUCGAUAUGCGUUGUCACCAUGCAUGUCGCGCUUUAUCAUCUUCAUAUAUCAAUUCCCAACAUAUUCUGUUGCUUCUCCAAAACCGUCGUUUCAGCCAAUUCAGAGUGACCUCACUCUAAUUUUUACCUUACGCCUAUAAAUAACUGAUAAUUCUUCUAUGGUCUUCCGUCUACCAAUAGUGGUUGGGAAGAAUUCCUUUUUGUCAUCGGAGGUAACUGGUACCCCCGUAUGUACCCAACGAUAUGCUCCCUCUACCAAGAACUUUUACUCAAGAAUUGGAUUGACCCUCCUCUUGUUCCUAGGAUUCCAAGCGCGAAGAACGUUUCCUCUCCUGUGGUAUCAUUCAUCUAUCCCACGACGAGGCCAUCAACAUCAACCAGAUUUACAACAUCGAUCUGCUUGAUCAUAUGGCUCGUCUUUGCUUUCCCCAUUCUAUUGAUAGGUGGGCGAAAAAUUAUAUGGCAUGUUAAGAUAUUGACAAAGAACACGAAUAUUUUGAAAUUUAUAAAGAUUGCAUACAAAAGUAUUGCAAAAAUCUUUCUGUUGUCUACCAUACACCAAUCACUUCAGACAUUUUGAAAAUGCUUCUAGAUGGUUUAAAGAGCAUUUCAGUAACUAAAGAGAAGAAAACACAGUCGCGCUCUACCUCCUCAAGACAAAGUCCCAAAGUAUCUUCUUCCAUAACUACAGAUUCCAUUGGAAAUACUGAAAUGGAGGACCUAGGUGUUAUUCCCUUUCCGUCGGAGGCCACUUCCACUUCUCCAACUCUAGUUGUUGAGGUUUAUCCUCGGCCUAUCAAUACCAAGUUCCAGAAUAUUUUAUUCUGGCUCCAUCUCCAAGUUUUACAUGAAAAAGAAAGAUGUCUGACACCACUUCUGCUAUGAUUUCUAAGGUCACAAAGAGUGUUUCUGGAAAGAGCUCUACUCAACCAACUGAACAAUCUGAGUUGAAUGUCAUUGUCGAGCUCACUCCAUUGACUUGAACUGGCAUUGAUGUAGAGCUCAAUCCCAUAACAAACUCUGUCGUAGCUACUACACUGGUUUCAACACUUAACACAGGUGUGACUGCAGAGUUCAUUCUGUCCCCAACUUCUCUUCUACCUUCUUCCGUAGCGUCUGCUCAUACCAAAUCUUUUUUUUCGAGUUAUUCAAUUCAAUCAAAAGAAAUGUGGACAAAAACCGUUGCUUUUCCCAUGCUCUUAGCUCGUAUAAAGAGUGUUUUAGAAUCGUGCUGAAAUAGCUCUGCAAAAUCUUGCUCAGAUGCAUUUCCUUUGCCACAAGUUUUCUGCCCUGUUUCUUGUUCUGCCCCCAUUUCUAGUUCUACAAUAGUGACUGUCCCAUUAACUGAAGUUAUCGUUUCCACAAAACAAAACCCCUAUUGUAACUAUGAUUUGUUUGUCUUUUUGCCCCUAUGUCAAACAUCUUCUCCCACCGUGUUAGAGCAAACAUCUUACUGCUACUAUAAUGAAUACUCCAACAUUCCUUCUAAUUGGCUCUAGCAUCAGUCCUUCUAAACCUUUCUUUGAUAAUAUUUAUGACUUAUACUUGUCACAAGAUUUCCCUGAUUCCCAAAGGUCGAAAAGCUCAACAUCCAUUACUUCCCCAGAUGUCACCUGAUGAAACUGCUCCUAUUAUCUCUUCUAGGAAUUCGACAAUUCAACCUUUAGCUCCAGUGGCGACCUUAAGAAAGAUUGUUCCCAACAUUGAGAAGAAUCCUGAUGCCAACUUAAUUCUUCCAGCAGCUCAAACCUUCACCCAUUGCCCCCAUUUGCAUCUGAAAAAUUACCUUCAUUGGGUGCAAAUACUAGUAGUAAAGGUGCUGGGAUGAAUGUUGCUAUCCCGCCGGUGCCCAUUCUAUCUGGGGGUUAUCCCAUCACUGAUACUCAACCAGGGCUGUCAUUCGUUUUGUCAGUAGUGCUAAAUCAUGCUCGCAAAAAAUUCCCACCUAAAAUGUUGCACAAUACUGACUUCCUAAGUGAAGAGUUUAUGCCUUUGAUCAUGGAGGAUCAAAUUACUAUAGUAAGUUUAUUCAUGCUGUGAAUAUGUAUACUAGCUCUUUGAUGAUUCUACUCAUCUAGUAACCACGAAUUAAAUUGCCGCUCCAUGUUUUGUGUACAACUUAAUUUCCUUAAUCAAAAUUUAGCAACAUGUUUUACUACCAUGUUCCAAUAGAUGGAGAGUCUGUAUCAAACUAUGCAGAACACAUUGAUGGCACAUCUUUUUAAUUCUCAACGAGCAUUGGAAAUAACUAAAAAAGAGCUUAGUGAGAUUGAAGAAAAUCAUGUUGAGACUGACGAAAAUUGUCGAAAAGGCAUGACUGAUCUCCAUGGAUAUCUGAAUUUAGCAUGCAGUGGGGUGAAAGAAUUGGAAUUGAGUCUUGCUGCAAGAAAUGAAACCAUUUCAAAGAUUGAAGAGGAAAAAUUAUCAUCCAAAAAAGCAUUGAACGAGAAGAGUACUGCAAUAUUGUCUAUUGAGGAACAAUUAAAAGGAAAAGAAACAGAAGUGAAGACUCUUCAAGAAGCACUAUCCACUUCCAAAUUCGAAUUAGAGAUCGCUCAGAAUGAAUAAGCUUCCUCAAUUUCCAACUUAGAAUCCACUCUUGCGGAAGUGAAAACUCUGCUAACUACUGCUGCCAAAGAGAUUACUGCUUUGAGACAGUACGCAUCAGUAAUCGACAUAAAGAAGAUAGAGCACUUUCUCGGAUAAACAAAAUUGACAUUGCUUUCUAUUUGGAAAACAUCAUGAGUCGAGAUGAUGAGAGCAAAGAGAGCAAACUUCGUUAGAUGGAAACAUUCUGCUACACCCAUAAUAUUGAGAUUGACAAGUACGAAUAUUUCCAAUACGAGAAGAGUCUUGGUGACACCUCCAUUGCUUACCCUGUUGAGUAUUUGGAACGGUUUAAACGUGAAGGUAAUGCUCUUUGAUCGAUCUACCUGUCGUCCGGAGAACCUAUCCCCACUACUGAGGAUGUAAAUGUCUGUGGUAGCAUAACAAUCAGUGACCCUACCCUGCCUUCGAGGUCAAAUGCUAACACUGAAGCAGCGAAACACUCGACAUCUACAGUUGCUGCCCAUGCUGCCGAUUACAGACAAACUACUCCUCCUGCAUUUUCUUUCUCAAAAGGAGAUGAUGGUACUAGAAUCCAUUAGCAGUUCCUUUGCUUUGUAUGGUCUAGUUUCUUUUUAUGUUUUGCUUUUGAAGGUCAUUAUGUUCAUUUUGUAAAGGAUGCAAAAUAUUAUGCUCGAUCUCCCCCACCCUUUUUUUCCUUUUAUUAGUCUGACUUCUCUAAUUGAGUUAUUGCACUUCAUACUA